Molecule: long non-coding RNA, 273 nt
Filed under: Malus domestica (apple)
Lineage: Eukaryota; Viridiplantae; Streptophyta; Magnoliopsida; Rosales; Rosaceae
Description: long non-coding RNA (MDOM_LNC016409)
Source: RNAcentral
ACAGCUCGACACAUGUCAACAUCAGAAGCCAAUCACAACACGACACGUGUCAAUGUUAGAACAAAACUAGAAACUCUCUUCUAUAAAUAGGGAUCAUUCUCCCACAAUAAUCUCUAAUGUCAUUUUAUACUAAACUAUUCACUAGAACUCACAAAAUGAGAGCUUGAACCUAUGUAUUUGUGUAAACCCUUCACAAUUAAUGAGAACUCCUCUACUCCGUGGACGUAGCCGAUCUGGGUGAACCACGUACAUCUUGUGUUUGCUUCCCUGUCC